GAUGAAUAACGCAGCGAAAUGCGAUACGUAGUGUGAAUUGCAGAAUUCAGUGAAUCAUCGAAUCUUUGAACGCACAUUGCACCUCUCGGUAUUCCGGGAGGUAUGCCUGUUCGAGCGUCAUUUGUACCCUCAAGCUCUGCUUGGUGUUGGGUGUUUGUUCCGCCUCUGUGUGUGAACUCGCCUCAAAACAAUUGGCAGCCGGCGUACUUGUUUCGGAGCGCAGCACAUUUUGCGAUCCAGAUCAACGUACAGCGGCAUCCAAGAAGCCUUAUUUAACUCUCUUGACCUCGGAUCAGGUAGGGAUACCCGCUGAACUUAAGCAUAUCAAUAAGCGGAGGA
This 339-nucleotide unclassified non-coding RNA is filed under the name soil metagenome. Its description in RNAcentral is "partial contains 5.8S ribosomal RNA, internal transcribed spacer 2, and large subunit ribosomal RNA". The stretch from base 1 to 120 matches the Rfam family "5.8S ribosomal RNA", at positions 35 to 154 of the family's 154-position model. The record is from RNAcentral.